GCCGGGGUGGCGGAACAGGCAGACGCAAGGGACUUAAAAUCCCUCGGGUAUGCAAUACCUGUACCGGUUCGAGUCCGGUCCCCGGCACCA
RNAcentral lists this transfer RNA (90 nucleotides) under Bacillota bacterium. Its description in RNAcentral is "Firmicutes bacterium (anaerobic digester metagenome) tRNA-Leu". It matches the Rfam family "tRNA". From Rfam's summary of the family: Transfer RNA (tRNA) molecules are approximately 80 nucleotides in length. Their secondary structure includes four short double-helical elements and three loops (D, anti-codon, and T loops). The record is from RNAcentral. Lineage: Bacteria; Bacillati; Bacillota.